This 231-nucleotide ribosomal RNA is filed under the name Skrjabinotaenia lobata. RNAcentral describes it as "partial small subunit ribosomal RNA". The record is from RNAcentral. Lineage: Eukaryota; Metazoa; Platyhelminthes; Cestoda; Cyclophyllidea; Catenotaeniidae.
GAAUGAAUCUUAUCGGGGGAAGGUGUAUAUUAAAGGAUGGUCCGCCUAUUAGUUUACUUUCAUUAUGUUGGUGUAUAUCUAGUUAAAUAUUAUUGUUUAGUAACUUAAUUUGUGUAGGGUGAUUAGUUAAGCUAAGUCUAUGUGCUGCGUAUGGGAGUUUUUAUGCGUUACAUUUAUAAUAAAUUUGUUGGGAGACAAAUUGAUUAAGGACUCGAAAGUAAUGUAAAAUUA